UACGUAGGUGGCAAGCGUUGUCCGGAUUUACUGGGCGUAAAGAGCUCGUAGGCGGCUUGGCAAGUCGGGUGUGAAAACUCCAGGCUCAACCUGGAGACGCCACCCGAUACUGCCAUGGCUAGAGUCCGGUAGGGGACCACGGAAUUCCUGGUGUAGCGGUGAAAUGCGCAGAUAUCAGGAGGAACACCGGUGGCGAAGGCGGUGGUCUGGGCCGGAACUGACGCUGAGGAGCGAAAGCGUGGGGAGCGAACAGG
This 254-nucleotide ribosomal RNA is filed under the name uncultured bacterium. RNAcentral's name for it is "partial 16S ribosomal RNA". It matches the Rfam family "Bacterial small subunit ribosomal RNA", at positions 524 to 776 of the family's 1533-position model. The record is from RNAcentral.